RNAcentral lists this ribosomal RNA (253 nucleotides) under uncultured bacterium. RNAcentral's name for it is "partial 16S ribosomal RNA". It matches the Rfam family "Bacterial small subunit ribosomal RNA", at positions 524 to 776 of the family's 1533-position model. The record is from RNAcentral.
UACGAGGGGGGCAAGCGUUGUUCGGAAUUACUGGGCGUAAAGCGCACGUAGGCGGAUAUUUAAGUCAGGGGUGAAAUCCCGGGGCUCAACCCCGGAACUGCCUUUGAUACUGGGUAUCUCGAGUCCGAGAGAGGUGAGUGGAAUUCCGAGUGUAGAGGUGAAAUUCGUAGAUAUUCGGAGGAACACCAGUGGCGAAGGCGGCUCACUGGCUCGGUACUGACGCUGAGGUGCGAAAGCGUGGGGAGCAAACAGG